RNAcentral lists this ribosomal RNA (459 nucleotides) under uncultured bacterium. RNAcentral describes it as "bacterial SSU rRNA". It matches the Rfam family "Bacterial small subunit ribosomal RNA", at positions 29 to 507 of the family's 1533-position model. The record is from RNAcentral.
AGCGAACGCUGGCGGCAGGCUUAACACAUGCAAGUCGAACGCCAUCUUCGGAUGGAGUGGCAGACGGGUGAGUAACGCGUGGGAACGUACCCUUUGGUUCGGAAUAUUCUCGGGAAACUGGGAGCAAUACCGGAUAAGCCCUACGGGGGGAAAGAUUUUAUCGCCAAAGGAGCGGCCCGCGUCAGAUUAGGUAGUUGGUGGGGUAAAGGCCUACCAAGGCAUCGAUCAGUAGCUGGUCUGAGAGGACGAUCAGCCACACUGGGACUGAGACACGGCCCAGACUCCUACGGGAGGCAGCAGUGGGGAAUUUUGGACAAUGGGGGCAACCCUGAUCCAGCAAUGCCGCGUGAGUGAAGAAGGCCUUCGGGUUGUAAAGCUCUUUUGUCAGGGAAGAAAUAGCAGCUCUAACACAGCAUGCGAAUGACGGUACCUGAAGAAUAAGCACCGGCUAACUACGUG